RNAcentral lists this ribosomal RNA (882 nucleotides) under Clausilia strobeli. Its description in RNAcentral is "partial large subunit ribosomal RNA". The record is from RNAcentral. Lineage: Eukaryota; Metazoa; Mollusca; Gastropoda; Stylommatophora; Clausiliidae.
UUGAAUUAUAAGAUCUAAAAAAUUUUUAUUUCCCGAAGUGAAUAGAUCUAACUAAAGUUAGUAUAUUAGUAAAAUCUUAAUAAUGUAGCAAAAUUAUAUAUGUAAGCUUUAGUUAGGGGUGAUAGGCCAUUCAAUUUUCAUUGCUAACUGGAUUAAAUUAAAAUAUAUUAAGUAUAAAAGUCAAGCUCAAAAAGCUAAGCUUUUGAGCUUCUUCUAAAUUUUGUUUUGUUUUAGUCCCGACUCUAUUAAUAUAAAAUUGGUUACGAGUUUUAAAAUAAUAAAUUUACUAGCUUUUUAGUUUAAUAAGUUUAUAGGAACGGAGAUUUAUUUUUGUUUUUUAAUAAUGUUCAAAUGAGUAUAUAUAAUUAAUAAAUAAUAAGGAACUCGGCAAAAUUUUUCUCAACUGUUUAUCAAAAACAUAGCUAUUUGAUUUUAUAAGUAGUUCGCCCUGCCCGGUGAUAAAUAAUUUAACGGCCGCAGUACACUGACUGUGCAAAGGUAGCAUAAUCAAUUGGCUUUUAAUUGAAGUCGUGCAUGAAGGGGUACAUGGGGAAAAGCUGUUUCAUUAUUUGUUAUUAGAAUUUAAUUAGCAGGUGAAAAUGCCUGCGAGGUUUAAACAUUAGACGAGAAGACCCUAUAAAUUUUAACCAAUUAUUUAGGUAAAUAAACCCUUAAAGUUUUUGUUGGGGCAACAGAUUAACAAAACGUUUAGAUAAAUUUAAUUAACUAUAUUUUUUUAUCGACCGAGUUAUACUAAAUAUAAAUAAAUUACUAUAGGGAUAACAGCAUAAUUUUAAUAUUAAGAUUGUGACCUCGAUGUUGGAUUAGGAGCUUAGUGAAUUAACAAUUUACCUAAGGGGUUCUGUUCGAACUGAUGUACCU